This is a long non-coding RNA of Rattus norvegicus (Norway rat), 1765 nucleotides long. Ensembl lists it as uncharacterized. Lineage: Eukaryota; Metazoa; Chordata; Mammalia; Rodentia; Muridae. The record is from Ensembl.
CCCGGAAGCUAUAGGCUCGCUCAGUUGAUGAGGCUCACGUCUGCAGGGAAACCCUGCUUCUGUUGAUGCUUCAGUAGCCUUAAUUGUCUUCGCCAUUCAAGGUAGUUUGUGUUACUGUGGCUCUAUAAGAUCAAGAAGUAAAUACGAACCAACAGAAGUGACAACCUCGGGAAAACGUUAUUACUUGGAAAUAGAGCCAAAAAUACCUUUGCCUGACUCCUGAGAUUAGAUCUGAAGGGACAAUGUUUUGAUAAGAAAAAUGGCAAGAUGCAGAGAGACAGAGAGAAGGUACAAAGAAAGAAAGCCACCCAGAAUAGAGUGGCAAAGGAGGUUGAAGAAGUGAGAUUCAAAAAUAAUUUUCUUUUCCAUACUGAUAUAUAGCUACUGAUAUAGGGUAGCUAAGAAAACUUACAGAGAUUUCAAGGAAAACACCAUCUCUGGGAAAGUUUUUCUUUGAUCAUUUGACCGCUUUUGAAUAAAAAUCCCCGGACACCAGCAACUCAAAAGUUCAGAAGAUCAAAACCUGACAGGGAUCAAAAUUUCAAUCGAUACUCAAAGAAAAGUUUACAGAUAGGGGACUGGGUCAAAACAAAGAAUACAAAAUGUGCAGUCACUAGCUUAAGACUCUGGCCUUACACUCUUAACUACCAGGAGGUUUGUUGCCUGUUGAGAGUCCUUGAUGGGGACAGGACAGACUCUGUUCUGUUUCCUGUUACCAGGCUCAUAAAAACCGGACUGGGUAUACAUUCCUAAUACCCACUUCACUUAGCACCUGAAGUCAGUACAGGUCAGCUAUGCUACCUCCUUAGAAGAGACUUUUCUACGUGCCCAAGAUCAUAUAUUUUACUGUUUGACUUGGAGGAAAGGUGUUAUGCCUAUGGUGUGAAGUCAGAAGACUGAGUGAGGUGACACAUGCCACUGCAGUUAAAAUACGUGCUGAAGACAAAUCCUCUUCCUGUUUAUCAUACCUCUCUGAACUGUUUAUUGGAUUUCAGAACACAGCUCUCUCCACCCCAACCCAGUAAAGAGACCUGCAGCAGGUGAGUUAGAACCUCAAAUGAGAAAGCCGAAGAGUCAACUGAAAGACCAGGAAAUACUUGAUUGCUAGCAUGCAUCUCCCUAAAUUGGAAUACAGCCACAAACCCUCGGGGCGAAAUCCCCAACCCCCACAGCAGCAGCCGGACAGCAUCUGGUGUGCUGGUGUGCAUAGCACCCUCCAGCGUGAUGAAAUCGAGCCAGUAGAGCUGAACUUCAGACCAGCACCAGCUUGAUUGAUUUGUGUAUGUUGGGCAGGCUUUUGUGCCACCUGUUUUUGUUUUUGUAUUUAUUCUAUGUGCAGCAAGAAGCCAAAGGGAAGAAAAGGAGCAUAGAGUAUUUCUUCCCUUUAUUCUUUCCUUGGAGUUUUCCAGCUUCUCUCCAUCACCAAAGGAGGCUGCUCUUCUCAGGGCGAUCACUCUCCAUGAGUCUUCCUCCUGGCUGCCCUCUUCUUCUUGUCUUAACAUGCAGCUGGGAUCCUCUCUUGUUCCCUGACAAUUAUGACUACUCUGAAACUGUGAAGCAGGAUCCAUAAAUGUGAAAACUCUGAAUAGCUGUAAACAGUUCCCAAGCUGGAACUGCUUGGGUCGGAAUUAAUAAACGACAAGGUUGGAGGAGGCCGAUGUGUUCCGAUUUGUUAUCUUUUUGUUGCCUCUGUGUAUAUGACUAAGGAAUCCAUCGAAGUUCUCAGUCCAGACAUCUAAUGAGCGUGUUUUAAUAACUCUUCUCC